CCGUAACUAUAACGGUCCUAAGGUAGCGAAAUUCCUUGUCGGGUAAGUUCCGACCUGCACGAAUGGCGUAAUGAUGGCCAGGCUGUCUCCACCCGAGACUCAGUGAAAUUGAACUCGCUGUGAAGAUGCAGUGUACCCGCGGCAAGACGGAAAGACCCCGUGAACCUUUACUAUAGCUUGACACUGAACAUUGAGCCUUGAUGUGUAGGAUAGGUGGGAGGCUUUGAAGCGUGGACGCCAGUCUGCGUGGAGCCAACCUUGAAAUACCACCCUUUAAUGUUUGAUGUUCUAACGUUGGCCCCUUACCGGGGUUGCGGACAGUGUCUGGUGGGUAGUUUGACUGGGGCGGUCUCCUCCCAAAGCGUAACGGAGGAGCACGAAGGUUAGCUAAUCCUGGUCGGACAUCAGGAGGUUAGUGCAAUGGCAUAAGCUAGCUUGACUGCGAGCGUGACGGCGCGAGCAGGUGCGAAAGCAGGUCAUAGUGAUCCGGUGGUUCUGAAUGGAAGGGCCAUCGCUCAACGGAUAAAAGGUACUCCGGGGAUAACAGGCUGAUACCGCCCAAGAGUUCAUAUCGACGGCGGUGUUUGGCACCUCGAUGUCGGCUCAUCACAUCCUGGGGCUGAAGUAGGUCCCAAGGGUAUGGCUGUUCGCCAUUUAAAGUGGUACGCGAGCUGGGUUUAGAACGUCGUGAGACAGUUCGGUCCCUAUCUGCCGUGGGCGCUGGAGAAUUGAGGGGGGCUGCUCCUAGUACGAGAGGACCGGAGUGGACGCAUCACUGGUGUUCGGGUUGUCAUGCCAAUGGCACUGCCCGGUAGCUAAAUGCGGAAGAGAUAAGUGCUGAAAGCAUCUAAGCACGAAACUUGCCCCGAGAUGAGUUCUCCCUGAGACUUUAAGUCUCCUGAAGGAACGUUGAAGACGACGACGUUGAUAGGCCGGGUGUGUAAGCGCAGCGAUGCGUUGAGCUAACCGGUACUAAUGAACCGUGAGGCUUAACCUU
RNAcentral lists this ribosomal RNA (997 nucleotides) under Klebsiella pneumoniae. Its description in RNAcentral is "partial 23S ribosomal RNA". It matches the Rfam family "Bacterial large subunit ribosomal RNA", at positions 1934 to 2925 of the family's 2925-position model. Lineage: Bacteria; Pseudomonadati; Pseudomonadota; Gammaproteobacteria; Enterobacterales; Enterobacteriaceae. The record is from RNAcentral.